RNAcentral lists this ribosomal RNA (253 nucleotides) under uncultured bacterium. RNAcentral's name for it is "partial 16S ribosomal RNA". It matches the Rfam family "Bacterial small subunit ribosomal RNA", at positions 524 to 776 of the family's 1533-position model. The record is from RNAcentral.
UACGUAGGGUGCGAGCGUUGUCCGGAAUUACUGGGCGUAAAGAGCUCGUAGGCGGUCUGUCGCGUCGGCUGUGAAAACCCGAGGCUCAACCUCGGGCCUGCAGCCGAUACGGGCAGACUAGAGUUCGGCAGGGGAGACUGGAAUCCCUGGUGUAGCGGUGAAAUGCGCAGAUAUCAGGAGGAACACCGGUGGCGAAGGCGGGUCUCUGGGCCGAUACUGACGCUGAGGAGCGAAAGCGUGGGGAGCGAACAGG